AUUAAAAUUUGAAAGAGCUUAGGUUGAAUGGUUCAUGAGUAAAUGCAACAACAUGAAUGGAAAAACCAUUUUUUUUAUCUUUCAAGAACCAUAACUCCUGAACGGUAAAAGUCAAAAUCGACAUUAUUGAAUUUGACCUCCAUUUUGUCAUCAGUAACAACAUAUCAAAAUUUGAAAAGCUUUGGUUGAACAGUUCAUGAGUAAAUGCACGGAC
Molecule: long non-coding RNA, 214 nt
Filed under: Mytilus galloprovincialis (Mediterranean mussel)
Lineage: Eukaryota; Metazoa; Mollusca; Bivalvia; Mytilida; Mytilidae
Source: RNAcentral